UUAAGCUAGUAAGAGCACACGGAGGAUGCCUAGGCGCCAGGAGCCGACGAAGGACGUGGCGAACGACGAAAUUGCCUCGGGGAGCUGUAAGCAAGCAUCGAUCCGGGGAUGUCCGAAUGGGGAAACCCGGCUGCUGUAAUAGGCAGUCACUCGCACCUGAAUCCAUAGGGUGUGAAGAGGCAUACGAGGGGAACUGAAACAUCUAAGUACCCUCAGGAAGAGAAAACAAUAGUGAUUCCGUCAGUAGCGGCGAGCGAACGCGGAAGAGCCUAAACCGGAGAGCUUGCUCUCCGGGGUUGUGGGACGUCUCACAUGGAGUCAGAAAGGCGUUUAUUAGACGAAGAGGUCUGGAAAGGCCCGCCGUAGAAGGUAAUAGCCCUGUACUCGAAAGUAAAUGCCCUCCGAGACGGAUCCCGAGUACCGCGGGACACGUGAAACCCCGUGGGAAUCCGGCAGGACCAUCUGCUAAGGCUAAAUACUCCCUGGCGACCGAUAGUGAAGCAGUACCGUGAGGGAAAGGUGAAAAGCACCCCGGAAGGGGAGUGAAAUAGAACCUGAAACCGUGUGCUUACAAGAAGUCAGAGCCCUAUGAUGAAACUUGUUUUCAUCAGGGUGAUGGCGUGCCUUUUGUAGAAUGAACCGGCGAGUUACGUUUACGUGCAAGGUUAAGGUGAAAAGCCGCAGCCGCAGCGAAAGCGAGUCUGAAUAGGGCGAAUGAGUACGUAGGCGUAGACCCGAAACCGUGUGAUCUACCCCUGUCCAGGGUGAAGGUGCGGUAACACGCACUGGAGGCCCGAACCCACGAAUGUUGAAAAAUUCGGGGAUGAGGUGGGGGUAGCGGAGAAAUUCCAAUCGAACUCGGAGAUAGCUGGUUCUCCCCGAAAUAGCUUUAGGGCUAGCCUCGGAGGAAGAGUCGUGGAGGUAGAGCACUGAUUGGGUGCGGGGCCCGCCAAGGGUUACCAAGCUCAGUCAAACUCCGAAUGCCAUGGACUUAUUAUCCGGGAGUCAGACAAUGGGUGCUAAGGUCCGUUGUCAAGAGGGAAACAGCCCAGACCAUCAGCUAAGGCCCCUAAGUGUACGUUAAGUGGGAAAGGAUGUGGAGUUGCCCAGACAACCAGGAUGUUGGCUUAGAAGCAGCCAUCAUUUAAAGAGUGCGUAAUAGCUCACUGGUCGAGUGACUCUGCGCCGAAAAUGUAACGGGGCUAAACGUACCGCCGAAGCUAUGGAUUGAUGCUUCUUGCAUCAGUGGUAGGGGAGCGUUGUGUACCGGGUUGAAGGCAGACCGGAAGGACUGCUGGACUGUACACAAGUGAGAAUGCCGGUAUGAGUAACGAAAAGACAUGUGAGAAUCAUGUCCGCCGAAAGCCUAAGGGUUCCUGGGGAAGGCUCGUCCGCCCAGGGUAAGUCGGGACCUAAGGCGAGGCCGAAAGGCGUAGUCGAAGGACAACAGGUUGAAAUUCCUGUACCACCGCAGCCGUUAUGAGCAAUGGGGGGACGCAGAAGGAUAGGGACGCGAGCUGAUGGAUGCUCGUCCAAGCAGUGAGGCUGGUCAGUAGGCAAAUCCGCUGACCGUAAGGCUGGGCUGUGACGGGGAGGGAAAAUUACAGUACCGAAGGUCUUGAUUUCAUGCUGCCAAGAAAAGCCUCUAGCCAGGUGAAGGUGCCCGUACCGCAAACCGACACAGGUAGGCGAGAAGAGAAUUCUAAGGCGCGCGGAAGAACUCUCGUUAAGGAACUCGGCAAAAUGACCCCGUAACUUUGGGAGAAGGGGUGCCCCGGUAGGGUGAAUAGCCCGAGGGGGCCGCAGUGAAUAGGCCCGAGCGACUGUUUAGCAAAAACACAGGUCUGUGCGAAGCCGUAAGGCGAAGUAUACGGGCUGACGCCUGCCCGGUGCUGGAAGGUUAAGGGGAGUGGUUAGCUCUUAGAGCGAAGCUAUGAACCGAAGCCCCAGUAAACGGCGGCCGUAACUAUAACGGUCCUAAGGUAGCGAAAUUCCUUGUC
This 2000-nucleotide ribosomal RNA is filed under the name human gut metagenome. Its description in RNAcentral is "bacterial LSU rRNA". It matches the Rfam family "Bacterial large subunit ribosomal RNA", at positions 3 to 1973 of the family's 2925-position model. The record is from RNAcentral.